RNAcentral lists this long non-coding RNA (284 nucleotides) under Lathyrus oleraceus (garden pea). RNAcentral describes it as "Pisum sativum (pea) long non-coding RNA (PSAT_LNC030383)". Lineage: Eukaryota; Viridiplantae; Streptophyta; Magnoliopsida; Fabales; Fabaceae. The record is from RNAcentral.
UCAUGAGUUUGAACCAUUGCCUUGUUGUUACAUGAACCUACCCUGCUCAAAAUUCCCUUGAUUAUUUGUUAUGCUGUUGUUCAUGAUUUGUGUUAUAAUGAUGAUGACAUGAUGUUGAUGAACCAAGUUGCUAACAAUGCUAGUUAAACCAUGCUGUUGUAAUUGCUGACCAAGUGUUGGUGUGGAUGUUGAAAAUACUGAAACCAUGCUGUUACUACCCUGCUAUGUUGCUGCAUAUACCCUGUCCAUGAACCUUAGAACUUGUCCAGGAUUUUGCAUUGAAU